Molecule: ribosomal RNA, 253 nt
Filed under: uncultured bacterium
Lineage: Bacteria
Description: partial 16S ribosomal RNA
Rfam family: Bacterial small subunit ribosomal RNA
Source: RNAcentral
UACGAAGGAGGCUAGCGUUGCUCGGAAUCACUGGGCGUAAAGGGUGCGUAGGCGGGUUUUUAAGUCAGGGGUGAAAUCCUGGAGCUCAACUCCAGAACUGCCUUUGAUACUGAAGAUCUCGAGUCCGGGAGAGGUGAGUGGAACUGCGAGUGUAGAGGUGAAAUUCGUAGAUAUUCGCAAGAACACCAGUGGCGAAGGCGGCUCACUGGCCCGAUACUGACGCUGAGGCACGAAAGCGUGGGGAGCAAACAGG